AAGCCAUGAUGUAGACACUGAUUGGUGUAGCUUCUAAAUCGCUCCAAAGCUUCUCCAAAGCUUUCAUUGUUGUGCUGAGUGAAACUUGAAAUCUGGUUUCUCAGCUU
Molecule: small nucleolar RNA, 107 nt
Organism: Eutrema salsugineum
Lineage: Eukaryota; Viridiplantae; Streptophyta; Magnoliopsida; Brassicales; Brassicaceae
Rfam family: Plant small nucleolar RNA R71
About the family: R71 is a member of the C/D box family of snoRNAs containing the C (UGAUGA) and D (CUGA) box motifs. Multiple nearly identical copies of this snoRNA have been identified in Arabidopsis, and it is thought to function as a 2'-O-ribose methylation guide for 18S ribosomal RNA.
Source: Rfam